GCUCCGGUGGCCUAGUGGUUAGAGUGUCCGUCUCGGAUGCGGUAAGUCGUGGGUUUGAUUCUCGGUCGAGUCA
This is a non-coding RNA of Potamilus streckersoni, 73 nucleotides long. Lineage: Eukaryota; Metazoa; Mollusca; Bivalvia; Unionida; Unionidae. The record is from the annotation of a GenBank genome assembly.